CGGCGGACGGGUGAGUAACGCGUGGGUAACCUGCCUCAUACAGGGGGAUAACAGUUAGAAAUGACUGCUAAUACCGCAUAAGACCACAGCACCGCAUGGUGCGGGGGUAAAAACUCCGGUGGUAUGAGAUGGACCCGCGUCUGAUUAGCUAGUUGGUAAGGUAACGGCUUACCAAGGCGACGAUUGGUAGCCGGACUGAGAGGUUGAACGGCCACAUUGGGACUGAGACACGGCCCAG
Molecule: ribosomal RNA, 238 nt
Filed under: uncultured bacterium
Lineage: Bacteria
Description: partial 16S ribosomal RNA
Rfam family: Bacterial small subunit ribosomal RNA
Source: RNAcentral